This 84-nucleotide transfer RNA is filed under the name Oligoflexales bacterium. RNAcentral's name for it is "tRNA-Leu". It matches the Rfam family "tRNA". From Rfam's summary of the family: Transfer RNA (tRNA) molecules are approximately 80 nucleotides in length. Lineage: Bacteria; Pseudomonadati; Bdellovibrionota; Oligoflexia; Oligoflexales. The record is from RNAcentral.
GCGGUCGUGGUGGAACGGUAGACACGCCAGUUUGAGGGACUGGUGCCGCGAGGUGUGGAGGUUCAAAUCCUCUCGACCGCACCA